UACGAACCGUCCAAACGUUAUUCGGAAUUACUGUGCUUAAAGGGUGCGUAGGCGGCCAUGUAAGUGAGGUGUGAAAUCCCUCGGCUUAACCGAGGAACUGCCUUUCAGACUGCUUGGCUUGAGACCGGGAGAGGUGAGUGGAAUUCCCAGUGUAGCGGUGAAAUGCGUAGAUAUUGGGAGGAACACCAGUGGCGAAGGCGGCUCACUGGACCGGUACUGACGCUGAGGCGCGAAAGCGUGGGGAGCAAACGGG
Molecule: ribosomal RNA, 253 nt
Filed under: uncultured bacterium
Lineage: Bacteria
Description: partial 16S ribosomal RNA
Rfam family: Bacterial small subunit ribosomal RNA
Source: RNAcentral